RNAcentral lists this ribosomal RNA (464 nucleotides) under Vreelandella stevensii. Its description in RNAcentral is "partial 16S ribosomal RNA". It matches the Rfam family "Bacterial small subunit ribosomal RNA", at positions 338 to 795 of the family's 1533-position model. Lineage: Bacteria; Pseudomonadati; Pseudomonadota; Gammaproteobacteria; Oceanospirillales; Halomonadaceae. The record is from RNAcentral.
CCUACGGGGGGCUGCAGUGGGGAAUAUUGGACAAUGGGCGAAAGCCUGAUCCAGCCAUGCCGCGUGUGUGAAGAAGGCCUUCGGGUUGUAAAGCACUUUCAGUGGGGAAGAAAGCCUUGGGGCUAAUACCCUCGAGGAAGGACAUCACCCACAGAAGAAGCACCGGCUAACUCCGUGCCAGCAGCCGCGGUAAUACGGAGGGUGCGAGCGUUAAUCGGAAUUACUGGGCGUAAAGCGCGCGUAGGCGGUCUGAUAAGCCGGUUGUGAAAGCCCCGGGCUCAACCUGGGAACGGCAUCCGGAACUGUCAGGCUAGAGUGCAGGAGAGGAAGGUAGAAUUCCGGUGUAGCGGUGAAAUGCGUAGAGAUCGGGAGGAAUACCAGUGGCGAAGGCGGCCUUCUGGACUGACACUGACGCUGAGGUGCGAAAGCGUGGGUAGCAAACAGGAUUAGAUACCCCAGUAGUC